CAGGAUAUAGUGUUAAUGGUAGCAUGCGUGUUUUGGGAACAUGUAGUGUUGGUUCGAGUCCAGCUAUCCUGA
This is a transfer RNA of Oceanibaculum pacificum, 72 nucleotides long. It matches the Rfam family "tRNA". From Rfam's summary of the family: Transfer RNA (tRNA) molecules are approximately 80 nucleotides in length. The record is from Rfam. Lineage: Bacteria; Pseudomonadati; Pseudomonadota; Alphaproteobacteria; Rhodospirillales; Oceanibaculaceae.